Gadus chalcogrammus (walleye pollock) is the source of this 4664-nucleotide long non-coding RNA. RefSeq lists it as uncharacterized. The transcript is spliced from 7 exons. The record is from RefSeq and is a predicted model, not a curated record. Lineage: Eukaryota; Metazoa; Chordata; Actinopteri; Gadiformes; Gadidae.
GUAUGCUGUUGCCAGAAGAGGGUGUCUGUGUUGAGCAGGAUGCUCAGCUCUCCACGAGAUGCUGAAUAUCUACUGAGGUUAAAGACUUUUUGAAGUAAAGAGGAGCAUCUCAUCUGAACCUGAUGUGAGUAGAAUUGUGUGGCAAAGCACAACUGAUGUGACGUGUAUGUUGAAUAUAAAUCAUUUGAAAUUUGGACCAUGAUUAAACUGUUCCUACCUUCAAAGGUCUAUCAUGGAUAUUUAACUGCAGGUCUGGGAGUAUCCCAACUUAACCAUGAAGAUGAACUGCAAACUAAGUCAUUAAUUUCUCAUUACUCUUGGGCACAUUGAUGUAUUUUGGCUUCCUGGUGAGUUAACCUGUUACCUGAAGGUUGAUCUGAGUAGUAAGGAUGUUUUAUUGGUUCAUGGGUUUCUUAGGUGUUUGGUUUAUGUUGGUUUUAAUGAUUUGUUAAAAUGGUUAGGCUCCACGUUGUUGUUGUAAGCUGGAGUAAUGGGUUGGGUUCUGAUAUCUUCAGUCUUCUUUCAUUCUACUCUCCUGAGCUCUGCAUCUUCAUCACUUGUGUUGCGUUACUGAUGAGGGUGUGGUCUGAGUGAGCGGAGGUGCAUACUGGGAUACAGAGCUGUCUGAAGUCUACAGGUCCGUAGACACGCCCCCUCAGGGGAAACCAAGUGUUUGAGAAACUGUCGUGACGUCAGUUACAUGGACUGGAAUGUUCUUUAAAAUGGACUCGGGGAUUCCGAAGGAGAAACACCAGGGGGAGAUGAGGGGGCUCCUCAUCUCAACGACUAAAACACAACUUCAGUCUGACACAGAGAACCAUGGAACACAUUCAACAGUCCCCUCCAGGCAUCGUGACUCCUCAGGAACGGUUUCAUUUCCAUGAAGGUCUUAUUUGGGGCCAUCCCCAGAUGGAUCCUGCUCCUCAAGAGCCACCCCCCUCCACUGUGUGGUCUUCUGAACAGAUGACCUCCUUCCUGUCCUCAGGCUGACUAAAGCUGCACCGUGUGCAUCUGUGAAGGCCCCUCAUUCAGGAAACCACUGGACUACAAAGACAUGACUUCAGAGACGUUGAAUCAACCUGGGACAUAUUUUGGAGACGCCAAGCAUAAUCCAUCACCAAUGUGUGACGCAACUGAAGAAUGUGGCACAUAAGUAAUUGGUUGUUCUGUUCUGGGUGCCCUGGCAGGAGAGCUGGGGGGGGUGAUGAAAUGUUAUUUGGCAUGAGGUUUUUACCCUGCAUGAUUGUUUGGCCUUUUAUGGCUCAGUGGUGUGUGUGUUUGGGUUUGACAUGAGAUGGAUGAUUUUUGAGCAUCGCUAGGGUUCUACUGUGUAUGUGUCUCCCACUCACACCUGGCUUGGGGUUCUACGUGCCUGUCCUGGGUUCUAUGUGUGUGUCUGGCUUGCUUUGACAGUGAUAAUGUUCAUACGGGGGUCUUUGUGAUUGGCUUGGGAUAUUGGAAUGGUCAAAUAAAUCAUACCUGAUGGACGGCCACACGUUUACUUAAGGGCCUCCAGUAGACCUGAAGAGCCCUGAGCGACGCCCAGGAGCGAUAUUCAACACACUGGGCAGGAAGGAGAGUAUCCAGAUCAAGUGUAAAAGGAUGCAAGCGGCGUGUUCAGAUCAGUGACUUGAAACUAGGACUACACCAAUCAGGAUCAAUGGAGGAUGGACACCUAAAGGCAUUCCACAAGGAGAGUCUGACGUUGGAAAGGGACCUAAAUGGAUAUUCAAGAUAACCUUCAGACCUGUAAUGAGACGGCUCUUCCUACCUUGCUGGAUUGAUGGAGAGCCUUGUGGAUCUUGUCUUGCUCUCAGUUGCACGUCUUCUCAGGCUGAACUGUAUUCGUUUCGGACCGGACAAGCUGAACGAUUGGUUCCCUUAAAUCAGAACCAGUCCGGGAACUCCAGCUCGUGCGCUCUUCGAGCUGAAGUUGUGCUCUUCAGCUGAGGUCAGGAAACCUUCACUGGGGCUUCAAGCUGUAAAAAGGAGAAUGUUUCAAAGUGUUCCAUGGUACUCUGAUGAGGACCGUUGUUGUGUUCCACUGGCUGAGAGGAAGAACCCUCACAUCUUACUCUUGGCCUUUCUCCUCUGAGAAUCCUGGCGCCAUCUUGAAGGAUAUUCCAGCUCAUGUAAUUGAUGUCACGACAGAUUCUCACACAUUUGGUUUCUCCUGAGGGGCGUGUCUAUAGAACUGAAGACUUCAGACGGCACUGUAUCCCUGCAUGCAUCUCUGCUCACUCAGACCACCCCCCCAUGAGUAGGAUGCUACAUUCUAGUGAUGGAGAUGUAGAGUUUUAUAAGUAACAAGGGAGCAGACAAAGGUGAUUAGAACACAAUGGCAUGUCAAGUCUGUAAAUCUUUAAACCAUGAAGAUGGUUGGAUAAUUCAGGAAUUGGGCUUCUAUUUAUUAUGAGCAGUCCUUUCGCUCAGAUGCCCACUUCUCACUGGACCUGUACAUGUGUUGGCUGGCUUGCAUGAUUUGCUGUUGGUGAUGAGGCGGUCAAGGUGACGUUGCAGGGCUAUGGUCGGCUCUCUGUGAGUUCAACGGUUAGAUUUGCUCUGUAUGGUUUGUACCCUGAAUAAUCUAGAUAAUUGUAAAAUGGAGACACUGUUUUGUAGUGAAUGAUUCCAUUGUUCUUAGGCAAGGAUUUGAGGUUUAAAGUUGUUGUGGGACGUACAUGGUAGUUUGGUUCUUCGUACGGUUUUGAGUGAUAUAACAUGUACACACUGGGUGCAUAAUAAUGUAAAGGUACACUGAAUGGUAGUAAUGACCAACAGCAACAAACAGAUCUCGUCAAGGUAAGUCUGUUGGCUGUGUUUUAAUGAAGACCAUUGCUGGACUUCAGGAUCUUCCUCCGUUCAGCUCAAGGUGAGGAGCUGGUUCUGUUUUUUCUUUGGUUGGUUCCGGCCGGAAUGUUCGGAUUCCAGUCGGACGGUUUGUGCUUCCCGCCGUGGAAGUUUCUGAGUGCCGUCACUUGAUUUAGUCCCAAUGGUUAGCAUAGAACGUUGUAGUCUUGACAACCAUUAGAAACCACCUGGCAGUUAGUUGGUCAGGAGUCCCCUGAGGGAAUCUGGCUGAACGUUCUGGAUUGUAUUUGAGUAACCUCGAGCCGUUGCCAACGGAAACUAUUUUUCAGUCGGUUUCCAUUGGGAAUUGUUGCCCCUUAUCUUAAACAACUUAAAUUUGAUAUUAAAUACAUACUGACAAGUAAGUCGUACAAUACAGUGUUGAUAAUUUCCGAUGGUUGCGCCAUACUUUUAACCACGGUGACGGGACUCUCGCUGCGUACAAAACGGCGUUCUACUUGCGGCCCCAUUUUUGACAUCAGUGAAGGCUGAAAAUCAUUACAAGGUGGAAGACAAUUUGACAUUUCUUCAAAGGAACCCAGCACCUGAAUAUGGCUGAGUAUAUUUGAUUUAAUAUCGAUAUUGCUUACUGUUCUUUGUUACUUCAGCUUUUGUACGUUCUAAAUAUCUGCUGUCAUUAAUUGCCACAGAAGAUAAACCCUACCCAAUGGAAUGACGUUAAACAAAGACUUUGGUGCAGAUUUACCAACUGGAUAAUAUCAAAGCUAAAAUAUUGGCCUUCAUUCCCACAUGUCACAGUAGAAGAUACUCUAGAACUGUACAAGGUUAAAAAGGUAACAUGUAGUUUGUACCAUGGUGUCUGCCUCCACCUCCUCACCCAGAGCAAGACCUCCACCUCCUCACCCAGAGCAAGACCUCCACCUCCUCACCCAGAGCAAGACCUCCACCUCCUCACCCAGAGCCAGACCUUCACCUCCUGUCAGAAGUCCUCCAGAACAGCUGAAAUGCGAGGCUGAGAGGCUGGGGUCCGGAGGCUUGUGGUGCCAGGGUGGACCGGAGACUGAGGCUGGAGACCAGCGGCCUGCAGCACCGGACCAGAGGACCAGCUGAUGGAGGAGCCGUGUUGAAGGCCCUGCCUGGUGGAGGAGCUGGUGGAGGCCCUGCCUGGUGAAGGACGUCUGUCGUGGGACCAGGACUCUGUCUGAGGAGAGCUGCUGGAGGAGCUGCUGAGAUGCUGGAGGACGACUAGGAAUCGACCAACAAGGAUUCCUCACUUUAGGGCCGGACUCGGGCUGUUUGUUCCAGACCAGGACUCUGGCUGAGGAGAGCUGAUGGAGGAGCCAAGACUCUGGAGGACGACAUCACUCCACCAACCAGGAUCCUCAGACAAAUUACGUUUGUAACCAGACCAGGAAUCUGGAGGACUGAUGGAGAAGCCGUACAUCUGGAAAGCAAAUCCUGAGGACAACCAGGACUGUCUGACCUCCAGUGGGAGUGAUCUUCUUGACCCAACAUGUAACCGUGUGCUUCCACACGCCUUUCCCUCACGUCUGUCACUAACCUCACUACUUCACUACUCUCUACUGCUUCCUCUUUUCUUCCUUCUGGUUCAAACCUUUACACUGAAGGCGCGCCUUCCUGCCCUCAGAGGGUUCAGCGUUAGGGUUGAGAGUCAGGGUUUAGAGUCAGGGACAGAGCUGGUCAGGGAGGACUGCUUUUACACAAACCUCUUCACUUGCUUUCGGAAUGGUGGUGACAUUUUGAAAAGAUUCAUUUGGGAAAAUGUUUUCCUCUACUUUCCUUUACAAAAGUGUACUAAACUAUUGUCAUGUGUUUUUGUUUAUAUAUUAAAA